RNAcentral lists this ribosomal RNA (270 nucleotides) under uncultured Funneliformis. RNAcentral describes it as "partial large subunit ribosomal RNA". It matches the Rfam family "Eukaryotic large subunit ribosomal RNA", at positions 25 to 287 of the family's 3401-position model. Lineage: Eukaryota; Fungi; Glomeromycota; Glomeromycetes; Glomerales; Glomeraceae. The record is from RNAcentral.
CCGCUGAACUUAAGCAUAUCAAUAAGCGGAGGAAAAGAAAAUAACAAUGAUUCCCUCAGUAACGGCGAGCGAAGAGGGAUAAGCUCAAAUUUUAAAUCUGUUGGGUUCCGCUUAACAGAGUUGUAUUUUGAAGAAACGUUUUCUGCAUCCAGGAUUAGCCUAAAUCCUUUGGGAUAAGGUAUCAUGGAGGGUGAGAAUCCCGUUCAUGGUUAAUCUUAAGGAAGCUCUAUGAUACGUUUUCCAAGAGUCGAGUUGUUUGGGAUUGCAGCU